UUUCAAUCUUUUAGAUGUGUUUUGUUAUUUUGUUCUUUUGUCUUUUCUGUGUAUUUUCAAAUAGCCUGUCUUCAAGCUUAGUAAUUCUUUCUACUACUUGAUCACUUCUACUAUUAAGAGACUCUCAUGCAAUCUUCUAUAUGUCAGUUGUGUUUUCAAACUCCAGAAUUUCUGCUUAAUUCUUCUAAUUAUUUCAAUUUCUUUGUUAAAUUUAUCUGAUAGGAUUCUUUAUUCCUUCUCUGUGUUAUCUUGAAUUUCUUUGAGUUUCCUUAAUACAGCUAUUUUGAAUUCUCCAUCUAAAAGGUCACAUAUCUUUGUUUCUCCAGGAUUGGUCCCUUGUGCUUUAUUUAGUUUGUUUGGUGGGCCAUGUUUCCCCGCAUGGUCUUGAUGCUUGUGGAUGUUUUUCAGUGUCUGGGUAUUGAAGAGUUAUUUAUUGUAGUGAUUGCAUUCUGGGCUUGUUUGUAUCCUGUCCUUGGGAAGCCUUUCCUGGUAUUUGAAGGGAUUUGGGUAUCAUCUACAUUUUUGGUCAAUGCAGCCAUAUUUGCAUUAAGGGGUACUGCAAGCCUAGUAACGCUGUGGUUCAUGCAGACUCACAGAGGUACCUCCUUGGUGGUCUUGGAUAAGAUCUGGAAGAGUACUCUGGAUUACCAGGUAUAUUCAUAUUUUAAUGAUCUUCUGGUCAUUUGUUGCUGGAGUUGUCACAUUCUACUGCUCACUAGGACCCGAUUCUCUCUUACCAAAUAUAUUCUUCACAAUAAAAUACAAACCCAAGCAGUUAGGACUUCAGGAAUUAUUUCCUCAAGGUCAUAGCUGUGCUGUUUGUGGUAAAGUGAAAUGUAAACGACAUAGGCCUUCUUUGCUACUUGAAAACUACCAGCCAUGGCUAGACCUGAAAAUUUCUUCCAAGGUUGAUGCAUCUCUCUCAGAGGUUCUUGAAUUAGUGUUGGAAAACUUUGUUUAUCCGUGGUACAGGGAUGUGACAGAUGAUGAAUCCUUUGUUGAUGAACUGAGAAUAACAUUACGGUUUUUUGCUUCUGUCCUAAUAAGAAGGAUUCACAAGGGUUUCACUUUAUUGCCCAGACUGGAGUGCAGUGGUGUGAUCUCAGCUCACUACAACCUCUGCCUUCCAGCCUCAAGCGAUUCUCCUACCUCAGCCUCCCAAGUAGCUGGGAUUACAGGCUUAUAGGUGGAUAUUCCAUCUAUUAUAACCAAGAAACUAUUAAAAGCAGCAAUGAAGCAUAUAGAAGUGAUAGUUAAAGCCAGACAGAAAGUAAAAAACACAGAGUUUUUACAGCAAGCUGCUUUAGAAGAAUAUGGUCCAGAGCUUCAUGUUGCUUUGAGAAGUCGAAGAGAUGAAUUGCACUAUUUAAGGAAACUUACUGAACUGCUUUUUCCUUAUAUUUUGCCUCCUAAAGCAACAGACUGCAGAUCUCUGACCUUACUUAUAAGAGAGAUUCUGUCUGGCUCUGUGUUCCUUCCAUCUUUGGAUUUCCUAGCUGAUCCAGAUACUGUGAAUCAUUUGCUUAUCAUCUUCAUAGAUGACAGUCCACCCGAAAAAGCAACUGAACCGGCUUCUCCUUUGGUUCCAUUCUUGCAGAAAUUUGCAGAACCUAGAAAUAAAAAGCCAUCUGUGCUGAAGUUAGAAUUGAAGCAAAUCAGAGAGCAACAAGAUCUUUUAUUUCGUUUUAUGAACUUUCUGAAACAAGAAGGAGCAGUGCACGUGUUGCAGUUUUGUUUGACUAGGAAUUUAAUGAUAGAAUUUUACGACCAGAAUUAUCAAAUGAUGAAAUGCUGUCUCUUCAUGAAGAGUUGCAGAAGAUUUAUAAAACAUACUGUUUGGAUGAAAGUAUUGACAAAAUUAGAUUUGAUCCCUUCAUCGUAGAAGAGAUUCAAAGAAUUGCUGAAGGCCCAUACAUAGAUGUUGUGAAACUUCAAACUAUGAGGUGUCUUUUUGAAGCAUAUGAACAUGUUCUUUCCCUUUUGGAGAAUGUAUUUACUCCUAUGUUCUGCCAUAGUGAUGAGUAUUUCAGACAACUUUUAAGAGGUGCAGAAUCACCAACACGCAAUUCAAAAUUGAACAGGAACACACAGAAAAGGGGAGAAUCAUUUGGAAUCAGCAGAAUAGGUAGCAAAAUUAAAGGAGUAUUCAAAAGUACCACAAUGGAGGGAGCUAUGUUGCCUAAUUAUGGUGUAGCUGAAGGUGAAGAUGAUUUUAUUGAAGAAGGUAUUGUUGUAAUGGAAGAUGAUUCUCCAGUGGAGGCUGUGAGCACACCUAAUACUCCCCGAAACCUUGCUGCAUGGAAAAUUAGCAUUCCAUAUGUAGACUUUUUUGAGGAUCCCUCCUCUGAAAGGAAGGAGAAAAAAGAAAGAAUCCCUGUGUUUUGUAUUGAUGUUGAAAGAAAUGAUAGAAGAGCAGUUGGACACGAGCCUGAACAUUGGUCUGUCUAUAGAAGAUAUCUUGAAUUCUAUGUACUUGAAUCAAAACUAACAGAAUUUCAUGGUACAUUUCCUGAUGCCCAGCUUCCUUCUAAGAGGAUCAUUGGUCCCAAAAAUUAUGAAUUCUUAAAGUCAAAGAGGGAAGAGUUCCAAGAAUAUCUACAGAAACUUCUGCAGCAUCCAGAACUGAGUAAUAGUCAACUUCUGGCAGACUUUCUUUCCCCUAAUGGUGGGGAAACACAAUUUCUUGAUAAGAUACUACCAGAUGUAAAUCUUGGGAAAAUUAUAAAAUCUGUUCCUGGAAAACUAAUGAAAGAGAAAGGUCAGCAUUUGGAACCUUUUAUCAUGAAUUUCAUUAAUUCUUGUGAAUCUCCAAAGCCUAAACCAAGUAGACCAGAACUGACCAUUCUCAGCCCUACUUCAGAAAACAACAAGAAGCUUUUCAAUGAUCUGUUUAAAAAUAAUGCAAACCGUGCUGAAAAUACAGAGAGAAAGCAAAAUCAGAAUUAUUUUAUGGAGGUGAUGACUGUAGAAGGAGUCUAUGAUUACCUGAUGUAUGUAGGACGGGUCGUUUUCCAGGUUCCUGACUGGCUUCAUCAUCUCUUAAUGGGAACUCGAAUCCUCUUUAAAAACACCCUGGAAAUGUAUACUGAUUACUAUCUUCAGUGUAAACUAGAACAGCUAUUUCAGGAGCACCGUUUGGUCUCACUCAUAACACUUCUCAGAGAUGCUAUAUUCUGUGAAAACACUGAACCUCGCUCUCUCCAAGAUAAGCAAAAAGGAGCAAAACAGACAUUUGAAGAAAUGAUGAAUUACAUUCCAGAUCUGUUAGUCAAGUGUAUUGGUGAAGAAACGAAGUAUGAAAGCAUCAGACUUCUGUUUGAUGGCUUACAACAACCAGUACUCAACAAGCAGCUGACUUAUGUUUUAUUGGACAUUGUGAUACAGGAACUGUUUCCAGAGCUCAAUAAGGUACAAAAGGAAGUUACCUCUGUGACAUCUUGGAUGUAAACACUUGGAUUUGGUAUAGAAUAACCCAUUGAAAUUUCUGCUGUGCUAGGGUGGUAGAAAUUUACUUUUUUGGGUAUAUUCUUAUACAUAUUAUGUACAUCGCUGUCUGAAAUUUUAAUUAUUUUUUGUUUUUAAUAAAGACUAACACAAACUUAAUAAUGAUUAAAAGUG
This 3618-nucleotide small RNA is filed under the name Pongo abelii (Sumatran orangutan). Its description in RNAcentral is "processed transcript". Lineage: Eukaryota; Metazoa; Chordata; Mammalia; Primates; Hominidae. The record is from RNAcentral.